This 253-nucleotide ribosomal RNA is filed under the name uncultured bacterium. Its description in RNAcentral is "partial 16S ribosomal RNA". It matches the Rfam family "Bacterial small subunit ribosomal RNA", at positions 524 to 776 of the family's 1533-position model. The record is from RNAcentral.
UACGUAGGGUGCAAGCGUUGUCCGGAAUUAUUGGGCGUAAAGAGCUCGUAGGCGGUUUGUUGCGUUGGCUGUGAAAUCCCGAGGCUCAACCUCGGGUCUGCAGUCGAUACGAGCAAACUAGAGUGUUGCAGGGGAGACUGGAAUUCCUGGUGUAGCGGUGAAAUGCGCAGAUAUCAGGAGGAACACCGGUGGCGAAGGCGGGUCUCUGGGACGCAACUGACGCUGAGGAGCGAAAGCGUGGGGAGCGAACAGG